CGCCAUCUUGAGCGAGUUACAAAGCCAGGACCGGCCUCAGCCGCAAUCCGACUGGGAGGCGGCGGGAGACAAAUGUGGAGCCCGCAAGGCCCCUCCCACUUCCGGGGCGGAGCGCGCUGGUGACCCCGCCCACUCACUUCCGCCUCCCGGCGCUGUGGAAUUGCGAGUGUAGGGAAGCUUGAGGGCCCCAAGUUUGAAGCCGGGUGCCAUGGGCGUUGGUGACCCAAAAAUGUGCACUUGAGGUGCUUGACCAGUCUGGAGAUGAAUUACACUGAAGAAAGCCAUCACGUGCCCACCAGUGUCAAGCUAUUUGCUGGCUGCUCAUCGAUGCCAGACGCCGAAGGAACUGAAGAUACAGGCUCUGUCUUUUCCACAAAAGGGCGCUUACCUUGGACCAGUGAUCGGCUACUACGUUAUCCAGUGCUUUCAUACGGCCACAAUGGGAAAGUGCCUCGCUGUGAGGUGUUGAAAGAAGCAAGGCCAGGGAGUUUGGAUCUCGAAGACGGGCUCCCAUAUAUUUGUUAAAUAAACCAACAAACGACUUGAGUAGGACUUCGCCAGGUGAAAGAGGAGGAGAAAAUAGUAUCAAGUGGAUGAAACAACACAUGUAAGAAAUGCAGGAGAGGGACUUCCCAGGUGGCGCAGUAGUUAAGAAUCCGCCUGCUAAUGCAGGGAACACGGGUUCGAGACCUGGUCCGAGAAUAUCCCACAUGACGCGGAGCAACUAAGCCCAUGUGCCACAGUUACCGAGCCUUCGCUCUAGAGCCUGUGAGCCACAACUACUGAGCCCGCGAGUCACAGCUACUAGAGCCCAUGCGCCUAGAGCCAGUGCUCCGCAACAAGAGAAGCCACCGCAAUGAGAAGCCUGCGCACCGCAACGAAGAGUAGCCCCCGCUCGCCGCAACUAGAGAAAGCCCUUGCGCAGCAACAAAGACCCAAAGCAGCCAAAAAUAAAUAAAUAAAUAAAUAAAUUUAUAUUAAAAAAAAAAAAGAAAUGCAGGAGAUGAGAAACCCCGAGUGGUUGGAGGAGACAGGAGAGGUAGCUGAGGCCUUCAGGAGGAUAGAAAACCCCAUCAGGCCCCAAGAGUCAUAAUUACAAUUUCAAUUUAGGGUAAAAUGUUAAGCAACUUCUUUUUCUAAAGCUGAAACAUUGAAGGGCGAGUUUCUCCUUAAUAUUCUACCUCCCAUCUGCUUCUGGUUGACUCUGGGGGGAAAACUCAGGAUGGCACAGACGCUUGUUCACCAGAUAAGGGGGAGCCCCGGCUGUCUCCCCUACCCUCACUUUAAAUUCACAGUAUUUUUUGGUUUUGUUUUAAAAUUUUAUUGUGGUAUUAUAUACAAAACAUAAAAUUUAUCAUUUUAACCCUUGAGUGUACAAUUCAGUGACAUUAAUGACAUUCACAUUGUUGUGCAACCGUCACCACCAUCCACCUCCAGAACUUUCUCCUCAUCCCAAACUGAAAUUCUGUACCCAUUAAACACUAACUCCUCAGUCCUUUCUCCCCCAGCCCCUGGCCACCACCAUUCUAUU
Molecule: long non-coding RNA, 1531 nt
Organism: Eubalaena glacialis (North Atlantic right whale)
Lineage: Eukaryota; Metazoa; Chordata; Mammalia; Artiodactyla; Balaenidae
Exons: 3
Source: RefSeq, a predicted model, not a curated record